UACGUAGGGGGCGAGCGUUGUCCGGAAUUAUUGGGCGUAAAGAGCUUGUAGGCGGUUUGUCGCGUCUGCUGUGAAAUUUCGGGGCUCAACCCCGAACUUGCAGUGGGUACGGGCAGACUAGAGUGUGGUAGGGGAGACUGGAAUUCCUGGUGUAGCGGUGAAAUGCGCAGAUAUCAGGAGGAACACCGAUGGCGAAGGCAGGUCUCUGGGCCACUACUGACGCUGAGAAGCGAAAGCAUGGGGAGCGAACAGG
This 253-nucleotide ribosomal RNA is filed under the name uncultured bacterium. RNAcentral's name for it is "partial 16S ribosomal RNA". It matches the Rfam family "Bacterial small subunit ribosomal RNA", at positions 524 to 776 of the family's 1533-position model. The record is from RNAcentral.